GUCCCUGUAGCUCAGUGGAUAGAGCAGUAGCCUCCUAAGCUAUGUGCACAGGUUCGACUCCUGUCAGGGACG
Molecule: transfer RNA, 72 nt
Filed under: Cerasibacillus quisquiliarum
Lineage: Bacteria; Bacillati; Bacillota; Bacilli; Caryophanales; Bacillaceae
Rfam family: tRNA
About the family: Transfer RNA (tRNA) molecules are approximately 80 nucleotides in length.
Source: Rfam by way of RNAcentral